This 87-nucleotide transfer RNA is filed under the name Leptothrix cholodnii SP-6. It matches the Rfam family "tRNA". From Rfam's summary of the family: Transfer RNA (tRNA) molecules are approximately 80 nucleotides in length. Lineage: Bacteria; Pseudomonadati; Pseudomonadota; Betaproteobacteria; Burkholderiales; Sphaerotilaceae. The record is from Rfam by way of RNAcentral.
GGAGAGCUGGCCGAGCGGUUUAAGGCAGCAGUCUUGAAAACUGCCGACGGUGGAAGCCGUCCGUGGGUUCGAAUCCCACGCUCUCCG